This is a non-coding RNA of Macaca mulatta (Rhesus monkey), 1339 nucleotides long. Lineage: Eukaryota; Metazoa; Chordata; Mammalia; Primates; Cercopithecidae. The record is from RefSeq and is a predicted model, not a curated record.
AUGGCCAGCCACCUUGUGCUCAACAAUGGCGCCAAGAUGCGCAUCCUGGGGCUGGGCACCUGGAAGUCCCCUCCAGGCCAGGUGACUGAGGCCGUGAAGGUGGCCAUCAGCGUCGGGUACCACCACAUUGACUGUGCCCACGUGUACCAGAAUGAGAAUGAGGUGGGGGUGGCCAUUCAGGAGAAGCUCAGGGAGCAGGUGAAGCGCGAGGAGCGCUUCAUCAUUAGUAAGCUGUGGUGCACGUACCAUGGGAAGGGUCUGGCGAAAGGAGCCUGCUAGAAGACCCUCAGCGGCCUGAAGCUGGACUACCUGUACCUCUACCUUAUUCACUGGCUGACUGACUUUAAGCCUGGGAAGGAAUUUUUCCCAUUGGAUGAGUCGGGCAUUGUGGUUCCCGGUGACACCAACAUUCUGGACACAUGGGCGGCCAUGGAAGAGCUGGUAGAUGAAGGGCUGGUGAAAGCUAUUGGCAUCUCCAACUUCAACCAUCUCCAGGUGGAGAGGCUCUUAAACAAACCUGGCUUAAAGUAUAAGCCUGUAGUUAACCAGACUGAGUGCCACCUGUACCUCACUCAGAAGAAGUUAAUCCAGUACUGCCAGUCCAAAGGCAUCGUGGUGACCGCCUACAGCCCCCUCGGCACUCCCGACAGGCCCUGGGCCAACCCUGAGGAGGCUUCCCUCCUGGGGGAUCCCAGGAUCAAGGCGAUUGCAGCCAACCACAAUAAAAAAAAAAACAAAAAAAACAGCCCAGGUCCUGAUCCGGUUCCCCAUGCAGAGGAAUUUGGUGGUGAUCCCCAAGUCUGUGACACCAGAACUCAUUGCUGACAACUUUAAGGUCUUUGACUUUGAACUGAGCAGCCAGGAUAUGACCGCCUUACUCAGCUACAACAGGAACUGGAGGGUCUGUGCCUUGGUGAGGUGUGCCUCCUACAAGGAUUACCCCUUCCAUGGAGAGUUUUGAAGCUGUGGAUGCCUGCUCGUCCCUAAGUGACCUAUACCUGUGUUUCCUGCCUCAUUUUUUUUCCUUGCAAAUGUAGUAUGGCCUGUGUCACUCAGCAGUGGGAUAGCAACCUGUAGAGUGGCCAGCGAGGGCGUGUCUAGCUUGAUGUUGGAUCUGAAGAGCCCUGUCAGAGUAGGAGUCUCUUCCAGUUUGUUUUGUCCUCCUUUUUGCCCCUCUGGGGAAAGUACAACCUGAAUACCCUUUUCUGACCAAAGAGAAGCAAAAUCUACCAGGUCAAAAUAGUGCCACUAACAGUUGAGUUUUGGCUGCUUGGAACUGUAAUCCUUUCAGCAAGACUUCUCUUUGCCUCAGAUAAAAAGUAUUUUUGUGGAAAAAAAA